RNAcentral lists this unclassified non-coding RNA (620 nucleotides) under Hevea brasiliensis (rubber tree). Lineage: Eukaryota; Viridiplantae; Streptophyta; Magnoliopsida; Malpighiales; Euphorbiaceae. The record is from RNAcentral.
UCUACCUUCACAAAAGUCUAAAUAACUACAGGGAGAGAAAAGGGAAUGGUCUUGUGGUGUAAUAUAACUGUUGAAAAGAUUUGAACAACUUGGAGAGCAUAAAAAUUGCUAUUUAUUUACUCGAUAGUCAGCAUCUGACUAUUAAGGUAGAUUGGCAUGUACAUCUCCCCUUUCUCAUGCCCUUCCCCUUCCACCCUUUCUCAAUAAAUAUAGUUUUUUUUUUUUUGGUGUGUGUGUAAAGAUGUUUGCACAACUCAAACCCAUAACCUUCACAUCACAAUGGAACAAACUUACCAUGUGCCAAGGUUUUCCUCCUAUAUCAGAAGUAAGAACACAAAGGUAAAAGAAAAUUUAAAAGGAAAGGAAAAAGAACCAUUUGUUAUAGGAAAUUAACCAUGUAAUAAUGUAAAUAUCGUUCCCUAGUUUAGCUAACAUAGUUAUAGGGAUAUAUUAGCAUAGUUAUAAACUAUUUGUUACAGAAAGUCAACUAUGUAAUUAUGUAAAUAUUGUUUUCUAGUUUAGCUACCAUAGUUAUAGGUACAUAUUAGCAUAGUUAUAAGGAUGUAUUCCCAUUUAGAUUACAAAAUUUUAAGGCAUUCUUAUGUGUGUGUGUGUGUGUG